CGUUCAUUAACGCCUCCUCGUUUAACCCUUCUCCACCACCCGCAGACGCCAAUCCAAGAUUCUCCCAAGACCUAGUUUGCCUCUCCGUGCCUUCGCUCUCUGUUUUUCUCUAUUUCAGCCCAUAAUUUUCUGUUGAAACCCGGCUUAACCGAAGGGAUGCGUAUGCAUGCAUGCUAGAUGGCAUGGGUAUUGAUCGUUUGUUCUCUGGUUUUGGUCUGGGUUGCGUGUCUAUGCAAAAUUCUCCAUGGAUCAAGCUCACCUCUCAGGAACUCAUUCUUGAAUACUGGUGGAGCUUUUCACAAGAGAAAUGUCUUGCUGGUUAUUGCCCACCCAGAUGAUGAGUCUAUGUUCUUUUCUCCAACAAUUAGCUAUCUAACUUCAACAGGGCAUAAUCUACACGUAUUGUGCUUGUCAACUGGUGACGCAGAUGGCAAGGGGAAUAUCAGAAAAGAAGAGCUCUAUCAGGCUUGUGCAAUUCUCAAGGUGACUGCUAUGCAGCUCAAAAGCACACUUUCAAAUUCAUUUAGAAUGCCAAAUAAAUUCCAGUUCGAGUCAAGAAUGCAGCAUUAGCAUAAAGGUUCUAGAACCCAAUCUUCUGGAACAUGCAUGCCAAGCUAAUAUUGAAGUUAUUUUGCUGCUGCCGACUUUCUUUGGUUCCACUUCAACAAGUGAAGAUUCUAGACCAUCCAGAUUUGCAGGAUGGUUUUGGCAGGGUUUGGAACCAUACUUUGCUGGCUAACAUUAUUGAAGAGGAGAUUAUGAGUUAUGGCAUUGACUCAAUUAUUACAUUCGACUACUAUGGUGUUUCGGGUCAUUGUAAUCAUCAUGAUGUGCAUUAUGGGGUAUGCAAGGUCUUGACUGAUGCCUCACAAGGAAAUAUUGAGGCCUGGGAACUUACAAAUUCACGACAACAGAGUGCAGUUCUUGGGCUUAUUACAUUCCUGUUUGCAAGAACAAAAAUUAAACUCACAUAAACGGAAAACAAUUCAAAAAUGUCAGUACCAAUGUAUUACGCAAGUAUAGUGGACCACUUGAUAUUUGGUUGUCCGUUUUACAUGCCAUGCAACAAUCAGGUGAAGUCAUGCAUUGCUUGCUAAAUCAGCAUCCCCAGAAGAGCUUUCUCGCAAUGGCACAACACUCAAGCCAAUGGGUUUGGUUCCGCAAACUUUUUGUAGCAUUUUCCAGUUAUACAUAUGUGAACACGCUCAGAAAGAUUUAAGUGCAUGUGAAUUAAUGAUACUGGAGAAAUUAUGGGUUCUGAGGUUUGUCUUGCAUACUUGAAUCAAAGUUAAUAUUCUGUAUUCCUCCACGGACAUAUUGCCAGCUUGAUACAUGGGUUUUGAAUGUUCAUGUGGGCGAUUGAAUAGAAAAUUCAGUCAGGACCGGAGAGUCGGAGACCACAGUGCCAGCAACUGUUGUUUAUCAGAUUACAACUGGAAGAUCCGAUCCGUUUUGAAAUUCACUUGCACAAACAGAAAGAAAAACAAGAAUUGCACAAAUAAAUGUACUUGGUUGAGUUUCCUUGAGACUGCUUGUAUCUGUGGAUCACUAAUGGCAUUGGUGUUGGCAUGUAUUUGAGUUUGGCUUUGAUUUCAUUCGAGAGAUAGUAAAAAUGGCCAUCUACUUGAAUAA
Molecule: RNA transcript, 1632 nt
Organism: Juglans regia (Persian walnut)
Lineage: Eukaryota; Viridiplantae; Streptophyta; Magnoliopsida; Fagales; Juglandaceae
Gene name: N-acetylglucosaminyl-phosphatidylinositol de-N-acetylase-like
Exons: 12
Source: RefSeq, a predicted model, not a curated record